Molecule: ribosomal RNA, 19 nt
Filed under: Vibrio cholerae HC-40A1
Lineage: Bacteria; Pseudomonadati; Pseudomonadota; Gammaproteobacteria; Vibrionales; Vibrionaceae
Description: partial 16S ribosomal RNA
Source: RNAcentral
AGAGUUUGAUCAUGGCUCA